GCCAGAGGGAGCACGUACCCGUGCUCUCCCCCCGGAACGGGGGACUGCCUCCUUCCCUCUCCAGGCAGGGCGACGCGCCCUGUAGGCGCCCCCCUCGUGGUGGUUAUCGGAGCAUCUGCGAGGAAGGAGCGUUCACUGGGGACCCGAGACCCAUUUUAUCAGCUCUCUGUGCAGAGACUCAUUUGAGGCCUGCGGUGAUGAUUGAAAUAAGGAUGCGCCCCCGGUGACUAUGGAAACCUCAAAAGGUGGCCACCAGUAGAAGAGAUAAGUAGGACUCAAGGCCGCCCUGAAGCUGGCAGUACCCGUUGCAGGGCACUCGGCUGGGGGCACCUGGUCCCGGACUGCGCUGUGGUUCCACAGCGCCCUGUGAGCGUAUAGGCCGCGGAAGCCGCUUCUAGGGGACCCUCCCUCCGCCCCUCCCGCGCUCCUCUGAGAACUGUUACCUUAAUAGGCAAGAACUGGGAGAAGGCGAGAGAUGCGGCUUCCCAAACACCCAGAAGGCUGAUCCUCACCCUGCUCCUCCUGGCCAGCGGAUCCCCGGGUCCUGCUGGAUUCCGCUGAUGGGAGGGCUUGGAAAGGAAUCCAAUUCCUCGGGCAUUGUUGUGAUGCUGAGAUAGAAGAAAGGGGGGCAGGUUUUGUUUUGCUUUAUUUUAUUACGUUAGGCUGCUGGCGGGGAAACCAGGCUCCCACUCCCUUUGACUAAGUGUCUGCAAUAUGUGGUGCCAGACAGUAUGGGGGCGACGAGAAAGUGUAAAAUCCGGGGAGCCUAUGCAUUAAUUCAGCAAAAUCAUCAGUACGUAUCAUAGGCCUGGCAGCACUGUCUAUGGUGGUAGAGACAAAUCUGUAAGCAAAUAAUUAGAGCAAGGUGAGGAGGUUGGGCAGGGUGCGGGUCAGAAGCCGCUGGCCCCGGGCAUUGGGCAGGGAAGGCCUCGCUGAGGAGAGUGGGCCUGAGCUGGCCCUGAAUGAGCCUGAGCAGAGAGGAAGAGCAGAAGGGGCAGCAUGUGCAAAAGCACAGGGCUGGAGAGAACAAGGCCUCCUGGAGGGACCAUGAGAACUGCUGUAGCCUGAGUGGAGCAGAGGGAGACAUGAUGCCUGGAGCUGUAGAACAUUCUGUGACUACAAGGAAAGGCCAAGAGAAUUGCUGGCCUUCCAGCCAGGAGAUUGUUGAACUGUUGAACCAACACCAGCAGCCACUUACCUCCGGAUUUCUUGUUAUAUCUGAUGGGAAAUCCAGAUGAAGCGGUCUGGGAGACAGAUGAAAAUAUAAUUGGGAUUCUGGUUUGAUGCUUGAAAUGACUGCAUGAAAUUUUUGGUCAAGACUUGUAGAUGAUGAUCUCUUCAAUGUUUAAACAUUUCUCACUGAUGAGAAACUUAAUUAAAAAUAAAUUCUGAUUUGAGGUAUAACUGACAUACAUUAUGUUAAUUUUAAAUG
This is a long non-coding RNA of Camelus dromedarius (Arabian camel), 1432 nucleotides long. RefSeq lists it as uncharacterized. The record is from RefSeq and is a predicted model, not a curated record. The transcript is spliced from 4 exons. Lineage: Eukaryota; Metazoa; Chordata; Mammalia; Artiodactyla; Camelidae.